Molecule: long non-coding RNA, 3010 nt
Organism: Strigops habroptila (Kakapo)
Lineage: Eukaryota; Metazoa; Chordata; Aves; Psittaciformes; Psittacidae
Exons: 3
Source: RefSeq, a predicted model, not a curated record
GAGCUGCUACCCUGCUAUCAUUUUCUGUCAAUUUUUGCUAGCCUGUUUGUUAAGUCAGGCAUCAUUUGGGUUGAUUUGAUAACAGGUUUCAAUCACUGAUAAUAAAACUUUUCUGUGACAGAUGACCCCAGAUCCGUAUCUCCUGCACAGUGUUGGCUGCAAGUAGAAAAUGGGACUGUCACUUUACUUUUUCAGUGUUUUCUGUCUGGUUUAACAGACAAUGUAAAAAUCACAAUAGGAGUGGCUUUAUAUCGUUAAAUUAAAAGCAGGAAAAAGCUGAAUUUUAAAAUGUUGGCCAAUAGUUCUUGCAUAAUUUGUUUCACUGUUUGCUUUAUAGUUUGAUGGAUCCUACUACAGACCAGAAUUUAAAUUAGGCUUUUUUUUUUUUUUUUUUUUUGUUGUUGUAAAGCAAGUAGAGGUGUAUUAUAAAAUGUAAGAGCUGUCAGAAUUCAUGUCUUAAGUAUUUAUUUAAAUUGAUCAGUUCUGCUUAUUGAAAGUUAGGUUGAUCUAGACCCUACUUCAGGGCUUUACGAAAGUAAAGACUAAUAUAAAGACCUAGGAUUGAGAGAAGUUUUUUCAUAUUCACACACAAAUAUUAAACUUUUAUGAUUUCGAGGAGUUAAUGAAAAUUACAGUAUGUUUUGCCUGGCAUUUAACUCCAUAGUGUUUGUUUAAACAAAUUCUGAAGCACUGUACAAAUGCGUACACCAGAGAACACAUGGUGAAAUUGAAUUGUCCAGACUCAAAGAAAUACUGAAAAGGAGUCAUCUGGCAUUAAACACAGAGUAAGUACAAUAUGCAUCAAAAUUUUCUCUUGGUUUCGUUAAAUGUGAAAAUCUUCACAGGCACAAAAGUCUGCUAGUUGCCGUUCAUGACUGUGACUUGUACUUUAAAAAAACCCCCAACCUUUCAGUGUAGUAAAUGAUUACUGUUAAACUAAAGAAAGUGUUUUAAAGCAAUCUCUUGGCUCAUAGCAGUACUUAAUUAGCAUGGCAUAUCUGGUCACUUGGGUGAAAGUCUCACUCUAGGAUACUUUUACAGAAGCUCUAAUGCAGUGCUGGAUGGACCAAACCUUGGAGGGUCUCCUGAGAAAAACCUGUGCUGGUAUUGAAGACAAGUGCAGUCACUCGUAUGGUCCCAGCAGGCUGUUAUCAGACAAUGUUACGAAUCCCUAUGAGGCUGGAAUGUUACAGUAUUCCUGCUUCACAGAUGAAGCACAGAAAGGUUCCCCUUGUCAGUGAAGAUCUAUGGGAAUUUUGUUUACAUUUUGAAGCACACUGCCAAGAAGAGUACUUCAUAUGGCAAGUAUACUGAACCUUUUGGGGGAAUGACAACGCUACAGAAAUGGUGGUGCAUUCCCUAAAGGAAAACAUACUUCAUUUGUUCAAUGAACAUUAUGUCUGCAGAAACUAAUGGCACAACCUCCUAUUCAGUUUAUGUAAAAUAAAACAGGCCCAUAUGUUGCUGCUUUUAGAGUUUGGGUGUUUAAAUUAAAUGUUGUUUAAUGAAUAUUCAAGCCCAUUUGCUCAAAAGUUGUGCUCAGUGUAGCAUCUUUUUCCUCUGUCUUUGAUCUUACCUAGAGUAUUAAGCCAUUACAAGAGGGUGCUAAAGCUAAGGCAUCUGUUUCUAACUAAAACUUGGAUAUUAAAAUGCCAGAGCAGAUGAGAGGGUAAAUAAAGACAUACAGUAAGAGGAUCAUAUUAUUUUUUGUCUUGUAAUUAAGACUGAGAAAGGUUCGAUAUGCAUGACAUCCUUUAAGAAACAGGAACGUUCACAGUGCUAUUGCAGCAGCUGCAGCUUGAGUAUGUUAUAGUGGUAUAUUCACUCCCCAUUUCCUCUAGGAGUUAAUUCAGUUUUUUCAGUAUGUGUGGGCCAGAUGCCUGCGCUGGGAUGCCUCAGCAGACUGCUUUCUAGAGAUGUCUGCAUCUGUGUGGGACUAUAGCCAGCUUCUAGAUUGUCAUGCCUGGGUGUGGGCAGGUUGACCAGAGGCAUUCAGUAAAAGCUGGGAUUCUCAUAUUGCUGGUAACAAGGUUUUAUCUUGUUUUAUCAUCUGUCCCAAGGUGAAAGUCAAGUAGAAAUAUUAGUAGGCUGGAAGAAAUCCUCUGGAGGUUGGAUCUGUUCUAUUGACUGCCCUGGUGAACAGUCUAGACUGUUCAGACCUGAAAAACAUUGGACAAUCUUCAUCGAAGGAGAGAUGAAAGAGGCUGUGAAGAACAAUUGUACAUCAUGGAUCUAGCCCUCAGGACAGGAAUGAUACUGAUGACAACCUGUCGAAAUGCUGAACUUUUGUUGUUUGGAUGAGAGAAGAAUGCAAAUGAGGGAUAAGGAGAAAAUAAAAGCUUUGGGAUGGGCAAGGGGGAUUUUCCAGAGACAGAAUAGCAAACAUUGUCAGAUCACUUGUGAUUACAAGUCAUAUAGUCCUCUACUGUUGUGAGCCAGAAGUGUCUCUACCUCAUUUACGCUCCUUCCCAAAGACAUUAUGAUGUCUGAAAAAAAAUAAAGGUACAGAAGGAAGAUUUGCUUUAUUAAAGUUUUAGAAAAGACUCUUGGAUUUUACUUGCCUACUACCUGCUAGAUGGUGUCUGGUUGUAGACUAAGAAAAUUAAUGCAUUUCCAUGACAUUCUGGGUUUGUAUGUAUGAUAAACUGACAUAAUUUAAAAAAAGAUAAAUUGGUUAAGAGGCAGAACCCCUUCCUGUAGAUGUUCUUACUUGGUUUCAGUUCAUCUUGUACCAAGUUAUCUUAGCUUGAUUAGACAGUUAAAUCAAUGCUGUUUUCUGUUGUAACUGAGACCUUUAGCACUUCAUCUAAUUACUGACAGUAGUAAGGCUGCAGUUGACUACUUUGGGGGGAAUAAGACCUAUUCUAUAUUAUAAUGCCUAGUUUGUGGGAUGUAUUUCCAUGCUUUACUGUAGACAAAGAACCAAUAGGGUGUAAAACCUAUAUUUUCUUUCUAGAAGACAGCCAGUAAUUAUGCAAUUUCUGAAGAAACACAUUCCCAGAGCCUACAC